This 440-nucleotide ribosomal RNA is filed under the name uncultured bacterium. RNAcentral describes it as "partial 16S ribosomal RNA". It matches the Rfam family "Bacterial small subunit ribosomal RNA", at positions 338 to 795 of the family's 1533-position model. The record is from RNAcentral.
CCUACGGGUGGCUGCAGUGGGGAAUAUUGCACAAUGGGGGAAACCCUGAUGCAGCAACGCCGCGUGAGCGAAGAAGGCCUUCGGGUCGUAAAGCUCUGUCCUAAGGGAAGAAAAAUGACGGUACCUUAGGAGGAAGCCCCGGCUAACUACGUGCCAGCAGCCGCGGUAAUACGUAGGGGGCGAGCGUUAUCCGGAAUCACUGGGCGUAAAGGGUGCGUAGGCGGCCAAUUAAGCCAGGGGUGAAAGGCUACGGCUCAACCGCAGUAAGCCUUUGGAACUGAAUGGCUUGAGUGCAAGAGGGGGGAGGGGAAAUACCAGGGUAGGGGGGAAAUGCGUAGAUAAUAGGGGGGACACCAGUGGGGAAGGGGAAUCCCCGGACCGGAACCGGCGGUGGGGGAAGAAAGCGGGGGGAGCAAACAGGAUUAGAUACCUCUGUAGUC